Molecule: long non-coding RNA, 2191 nt
Organism: Hypanus sabinus (Atlantic stingray)
Lineage: Eukaryota; Metazoa; Chordata; Chondrichthyes; Myliobatiformes; Dasyatidae
Exons: 4
Source: RefSeq, a predicted model, not a curated record
AUACUUUAAACACUUCUAAUUCUAACUAGAAAAUACUAACAAAUGAAUUACUAAGCAAAAAUAUUAUAAACUAAAUAACUGUCGUAAAGACAGCACAAGCUUGUUGCAAUGACAUUUGGGAAUUUAACCUAGGUUCAAUAUAAAUCUUAUCACUAUGGCCAAGAGUUCAGGUGAUCUUCCCAUCUAUCAACCCAAUAAAUGCAACACAAUGGCAAAUGGAGAAAAAAAUCAAUCUACAGAUGUUGGAAAUAAAACAGAAAAUGCUGGGAAGACUAAUGUCGGUGCUGUGAGUGGUUGAAGUUUAUCCUGAAAAGAGUAUGAAAUAAAAUACAUUACAAUGUGGAAGCAGAACUGUCAAAAGUUUCACAGAAAAGCCUAAAGAAUCAGCUUGCAGCCUAAUUAUGCUGUGCUCAAAAAGGAGACAAGUAAACCAUUCAUCUCAGCCUUUUCCUUUUAAUUCAAAAAAAUACAGUUAUCUAACAAAAACUGAAAUGAUGGAAAAACUCAUCCAAUCAAGUAGCAUCUGAGGAAAGAAACCCCCAGACACUGUUCUAGAUGAGUAUCCCUUCUUGAGAAUCGAGGAACAAGUGGAUAAGCUACAGUUGUAACAUUGCUUAAUAUGGAAAAUACACUGCAGCAGAGUGGUCAAAACUGCCCAAUGCAUCACUGGCACCAACCUACCUGUCAUCAAGGACAUGUAUACAGAAAGGUGACAGAAAAUGGCCAAAAACAUCAUGAGGGAUCUCACCGACUCUGCUCAUGGACUAUUUGUUCCAUUCCCAUCAGGGAGGAGACUAUAUAGCAUCCAUGCCAAGAACUCCUGACUCAAAAACAGUUUCUUUCCCCAAGUGGUUAUGCUCCCUCUAAAUUAUAAUGAUUAGUGUGCACAAAAAUCUUGUGCUUUGCAAUUUUUUUGCCCGGUGUGUGCACUGCAACGUUCCCUCUAAGGAACAUUCAAACUACGCACAAAAGCUUGUCACCCUCUACCCUUGUUGGCAUGUUAAGUAUAUUUUAGAAUCUUAUUCAAUCAUAUUAAAUUUUCUGGAUAGAGUUGACAACAAACACGAGGAAAUCUGCAGAUGCUGGAAAUUCAAGCAACACACACAAAAUGCUGGUGGAAUACAGCAGGCCAGGCAGCAUCUAUAAGGAGAAGCACUGUCGACGUUUCGGGCCGAGACCCUUCGUCAGGACUAACUGAAAGGAAAGAUAGUAAGAGAUUUGAAAGUAGGAGGGGGAGGGGGAAAUGCAAAAUAAUAGGAGAAGACCGGAGAGGGUGGGUGAAGCUGAGAGCUGGAAAGGUUUCCCUUUUGCCAAUCACCUUUCUACUUUCAAAUCUCUUACUAUCUUUCCUUUCAGUUAGUCCUGACGAAGGGUCUUGGCCCGAUAGAUGCUGCCUGGCCUGCUGUGUUCCACCAGCAUUUUGUGUGUGAGAGUUGACAACGUGGAGCUUGCGAUGAUUUGUCUGCAGAUUUUAGAAUUGGCUUAUUUCUACUGUUUUUAUUGAAGAAAUUAUCAAUUCACUAUGUCAAAUUCCACAGAAGCAAAAGGCAUGAAGUGCAAAAGAACAGCUAGCUCAUUUAAAGCGGAAUGGCUUAAUGAAACAGUAGAAAUUGCUACACCAAAAGCUCACGAGGCCACGAACGUGCAGCUGCACAGAAAAAGGUGGUAAUGCAAGGAGGGGAAUUAAAGGCAUAGCCAAAGCAAAGAUAGUGAUCUACAUUGAAUUUAUGAUUUGAAUAUCUCUUUGCCUGAUCACUGCAAUAAUUUUAAUUCAUUACUUAUUCACUUGUUGAAAAAGAAAUGUUUGGUAUUUGAGAGAAAUGAUUAAAUUAAAGACGGUUCUUAAGGAGUCCAUUUAGAAUGUGCUGACACAGAAAGAACGUGCAAAGCACGUUGCAGGGCAACGUAUAAACCAAUUUGCAAAAUGAGGAUGAAACAAUAGCUUGCUGAUUAAAGAAGCGAUACGGGUAACGGGAAGACAUGCUUAACGGUUGAACAAUAACGGUGUUAAUGCGCUGAGGCUGAUAAGUGGGCCAAAGGGUAAUCACAUUUGUAAUUUUGUAAUGAGAUUAAGGAAGAAUGUCUGCACCUCACAUGGGUGCAACUCACAAAGUCGUAAACAAGUAGGGUAUAAAAAACUGUGCAAAGUGUAAUUCGGCACUCAAUCUAGCAGGAGCUGGUUGGGUCCGAC